This 253-nucleotide ribosomal RNA is filed under the name uncultured bacterium. RNAcentral describes it as "partial 16S ribosomal RNA". It matches the Rfam family "Bacterial small subunit ribosomal RNA", at positions 524 to 776 of the family's 1533-position model. The record is from RNAcentral.
UACGUAGGGUGCGAGCGUUGUCCGGAAUUACUGGGCGUAAAGAGCUCGUAGGUGGUUUGUCGCGUUGUUCGUGAAAUCCCACGGCUUAACUGUGGGCGUGCGGGCGAUACGGGCAGACUGGAGUACUGCAGGGGAGACUGGAAUUCCUGGUGUAGCGGUGGAAUGCGCAGAUAUCAGGAGGAACACCGGUGGCGAAGGCGGGUCUCUGGGCCGAUACUGACGCUGAGGAGCGAAAGCGUGGGGAGCGAACAGG